Molecule: transfer RNA, 73 nt
Filed under: Cordylochernes scorpioides
Lineage: Eukaryota; Metazoa; Arthropoda; Arachnida; Pseudoscorpiones; Chernetidae
Description: tRNA-Thr
Source: RNAcentral
GUCCAGGGGCGGGAAUCGAACCCACAACGUUCCGCUUACCGGGCAGAUGCCAUAUCCACUAGGCUACCCUGGA